RNAcentral lists this RNase P RNA (350 nucleotides) under Actinomycetota bacterium. RNAcentral's name for it is "Actinobacteria bacterium RNase P RNA component class A". It matches the Rfam family "Bacterial RNase P class A". From Rfam's summary of the family: Ribonuclease P (RNase P) is a ubiquitous endoribonuclease, found in archaea, bacteria and eukarya as well as chloroplasts and mitochondria. Its best characterised activity is the generation of mature 5'-ends of tRNAs by cleaving the 5'-leader elements of precursor-tRNAs. Lineage: Bacteria; Bacillati; Actinomycetota. The record is from RNAcentral.
GCAGGCCGGGUGACCGCGAGCCUUCUGGCUCGAGGAAAGUCCGGACACCGUAGGGCAGGAUGCUGGGGAAAUCCCAGGCGGCGAAAGCCGACGGAAAGUGGCACAGAAAGGAGACCACCACCGGCGUAACGCAACUCCGGAGACGCCGGGGGCAAGGGUGAAAAGGUGGGGUAAGAGCCCACCAGCGUCGUGGUGACACGACGGCUCGCCAAACCCCGUCCGGUGCAAGGCGAACAGGCCCCGAUGACGUAGCCCGCGUAGGGGCCGGGUCGGCCGCUCGAGCCGCCGAGGAAUCGGCGGCCUAGAUGGAUGGUCACCCUCGACAGAAUCCGGCUUAGAGGCCUGCUACA